RNAcentral lists this ribosomal RNA (253 nucleotides) under uncultured bacterium. RNAcentral describes it as "partial 16S ribosomal RNA". It matches the Rfam family "Bacterial small subunit ribosomal RNA", at positions 524 to 776 of the family's 1533-position model. The record is from RNAcentral.
UACGAAGGGGGCUAGCGUUGCUCGGAAUUACUGGGCGUAAAGGGUUUGUAGGUGGCUUGCUAAGCCAGACGUGAAAUCCCUCAGCUUAACUGGGGAACUGCGUCUGAGACUGGUGAGCUUGAGUGCAGGAGAGGAACGCGGAAUUCCAGGUGUAGCGGUGAAAUGCGUAGAUAUCUGGAGGAACACCGGUGGCGAAGGCGGCGUUCUGGACUGCUACUGACACUGAGGAACGAAAGCCAGGGGGGCAAACGGG